UCAAGCAAGUUCCAUGACAACAAGCUGUACUUCCAAGCUGGUGAAUUACUUUGUUUAGGGAAAGUGAGUUAUUAAUUAUAUGACACAUCAAUUCAGUCUAUGCAAUCUUUUGUGUUUGCAUUUGCAAAUCCAUAAUUCCUUCUGUUGUGCACAGGUCUGAGUCCACAAUUUCUGUCCUUCCCCCAAAAGUUGGAGUGUUUUCAGUCAUGAGGUUUUGAAGCAACUCUGCCCUUAAGAGACCAUAACUUAGCUGCUCACCAGAAUAAUCAAAGCACCUCUGUCUUCUAGGGGAUAUAUUUCUAUUUCUAACAUAUUUGUGUUUCUAUUCUAACAUAUCCAGUUCCUGCAGCUGAGCUUACAACAUGAAGAAUUCACCCAAAGAGCUUGACUUGUACUUCCAUACAGCCUCCCUGUUCAACUAAUGGCAGCUUGGCUUUCAAAUGAAAUUAACACAGGGGCCAUCGGUGGGGAGGGAGACAGGGAGGGAGGCUGUGUGGUGUUCUGAGAUUGUAACUAAACUGUUGGUGACUUUGUGAUAAGAGACCUGGUGUUGGAUUAUAGAGUGAGAGGUGGGGUUCCAAAAAAGCAUUAGAAUCAGCACCAUGCAGGAGUGCUCUUUUCCUGGAGUAUUUGCAAAUGCUUCAUCCUAAUUGAGUCUGCAAACAGCUCUAACUCCCUUAAGGGAGUGAGAGGGUUUGCUCCUUGAGAAAUGACAGCCUGAAAAUGAGAGAACUGAGAGUUACACAAAUACAUUUUUACACUUUUUUUUUUUUUUAUAGAAGGUAUCUUGGACAGUUGGGCUGCCACAGUACAAGUUGUGGGGAUGCAUAUGCUGCCCCAGUCACCUUAAGAGUGUGUGGAUGCAGGUGAGCCUUUCCAAAGAACAACAAAUGCAUCAUUUCUAAGCAACCAAAUCCAAAGAACAGAGGAGACCUGCCCACUGUGGGUAAGAUACCAGUGACAAGGGAGGAGAAUUCACAAUGGAAUCCAAACAAGAUUUCCCAUGGCAAGUCCCAACGUGUUUUCUAAGUGUCAAACUCAGUAUCUAUGCAGAUCAGUUACACUUAGCAAAUUCCUGCAGAUAAAUUAGAGUUAAAUAAAGAGUCUGGGUUUAAAAUAAAUGCCAUGAUCAACUGCUGGUUUCUGUCGCUUACCUUUGGUGCCACAUUUAUAGCACAACACUGAAGCCAAGGGGUAAAUGAAAGGCUGGGACUUUGUCCAUGCUGACAACCUCCUGUCCUGCCCUGGGAAGGUGUAAGAGGCAGCCCAGUCACAUGUACUCAGUGUGACCAGUUCGUAUGGGUUUGUGAGAAGUGAGGGUUUGGGUGGAUUCCCUUAGCAGCCCUAUUGCUGAUGCAAGACAGAGUAUUUUUACAGCUUCUGUGCACUUCCUUCCUCUCCAUAUUAUAAAUCCUACAAUGCUGCAUUUAAAUGCUAAUUACUGAUCAAAUAUUAAACCUUUAUGAGUUUGUUUGAUUUGAGGGGGGAGACCAAAGAACUAUUCAUAGAACAGAAACUGAAGUGAAUUUCAGUGGUUCUGCACUGUAUGAUGAGGGGCUAAGUAAUUAUGUUGUACAAGUAAUAAGAUUUAGCUGCUAGCGACAGUACAGGAAAAUAAACCAUAUUCUAUUAAAUAUAUGGCUUGGGGUUGGGUUUUUUUGGUUGUUUUUUUUCUAAUAAUUGUGAAGAUGAACAGCCAAAAGUAUAUUGGACUGAAUUUAAAAAGCUAAAUCCUGAUGCUGCUGAAUUCAGUAGGUUCAGCCAUAUGCCCUGUGCCUUCAUAUCUUGUUAUUAAGCAGAAACAGCCAUGAGAAUAAAUUAGGAGUGCUCCUUUAUUGCCUUUGGUUCUGUCUUUAAUUUAAAUGUAUUGAGUCCUCCUUCAUGUUUAAAGAUAAGAAGUCACAAUAAUAUAAAAGGCUUUACUAAAAGUGACAAGACACUAAUAGAAGCAAUUGGAAUGACUUCUCUGUUGCUCUGCCUGCAUUCAGUAUCAGCAGCCUUUCAAAUGGAUAUUAUGUACUACAGGUUACUUAUAUAUAAUCAACCAGUGUAACGUGAAGUUUUAUGUGUAAAAUGGAACUGUCCUUUUUUUUGGCUUUUUUGUUUGGUUUUUAAAAAAUAUUGUUGCUGUUACACAUUGCAAAAUAUUCUCACCUUGUCAGCAGAGAAAGGAUUCAGUGCUCUUAAGAAAAUAUGGUAAGUCUGAGGCUUGUUAUGUGCAGUGUGUUCAGAGGUAUGAAAUCAGAUUGUGCUGGUAAUGCUGUAAGCACCAUAACAGCUGUUUGGUCUGUGUGGAGAGAGUUAGUAACACCAAAUAUGUAAAAUAGUCCAGUUCAAAUUAUCAACAAGUUGCAGUAGCAUCUCAGUAGGUAGUGGAAGGAUAGUAUUUAAAAAAGUGUUUUUAGCAGCAAUAUGUGAUUGGGUUUCUUUGUUGUUGUUGUUGUUGUUGUUGUUGUUGUUUGUCUGCUUGGGGUUUUUUGGUUUUGUAGUUUUUGUUCUGUUUUUUCCCCUAACUGUAUGUUUUUGUUGCAGUGACUGGGAUUUACAAAGUGAAUGUUGCUUAUACUCCCUUUAGGUACUUGUUUUUGAAAACCAUGGCAGUUUAUCUUGUAAAGACAUCUAAACUGUGGAAAAUGAUUAGAGGAAACCACAAAAUGUGUCUUGUCUCCAGUCUGCUUCUCAUACUUUGUUUCCACUGAAGCUUUAGCUGAAGUCUAGAAGUGUUCUCUAAGAGCUCAGCACAUAUUACUGUGAGACUCACAGGAGAAGGGUUCGUGAUCUCUCUUUUCCCUACACCACCAUCAAGCAAAUUGAUGAGAGUUGCUCUCUGUGGGAGUUCUGCACAAUGGUUUGCUCCCAUCAACUGAACACCAUCAGCCUGCUGUCUCUGUGUUAAUUUUUAAUGGCAGGGAUCACUACAAAUAGACUUGUCUACCUUUUAUCUGUCUCAAAAAAAAAAAAAAAAUCAAUGUUUUAUGAAUGUAUUCAUCACUCUGUCAUGCUGCUUUUCAGUGGUAGAAACUCAGAGUUGUCAGCAGGAGCACCCCUGUGUACAGACUAUAAACCAAGGCAAGAACUAAUGGUACAGCUAAUCUGGAAUUGUGUCUGUGCAGGUUAGAACAGAGUAGGAGAGGAAAGGAACAAACUUACACCAUCUUUUGCAGAGCAGGACAGUCUGCAGGUCAGCCUGGGCUCAAGAAGCAGAGAGCAUGGAGACUGGUGAUUGCAACAUGAUGAGUGGGCCUCUUGCUUGGAGUACAGGGCACCUAUGUGUGGGCUACUUGCUCAGCUUGGGUUUGUUGGGGCUUGUUUGCAAGACAGUAAAAUCCUUUAGUGGUGUGGAGGUUGCUGUGAUAGUGAUUGGGAAGCCACAUAAAAUGCACACAAGUAAUACAUUACUUGUACCUUAGCCUGCACAGCUAAAUGCCCCGCAGGGGUAAAAUUUUGGAAGAUAAUUUCUCUUUUAAACAUCAGACUGUCCUAAGCAAUUUCCCAGCAAAUAUGGAGUAGCUCAUGCCUGAGAGUGAGAAGUCUGCAGGAAAUCAGCAAAGAAACCCCAAAUCUAAGGAGUGAGGGUGAAUCUGUCAAAUAAUGCAGGUCCAGAAGAGGUUUAGUUAUGGGUGUAAAGGAGAUUGUUCAAUAGGCUGUGGGUUGGCAAGUCCAGCUUUGUGCUGGAAAUUGCCUUUAAAUCAAAGCACACAAGAUGCCACUCAGAGCUGAGACCUGCUAUUGUAAACAGGGUAACUUUCUCUAUGAGUUUGUUGCGUGCUGCCAGUCUGCAGGAAUGGCUGCACUCAGCUUCCCGGGAUAACACAGCUCCAUGGUCAGCUCUCUGCUCUCAGUGACAGUGGCUAAGAGCUCCUCAAAUGCUGGCUGGAGGGAGUAGGCCAUCUGCAUUGCUCCAUUUGCCUGUUCCCUGCUUUGUCCUUUCCCUGGGGUGCCUCAGUUUCUCCCUGGCACACAUGCACUACCUGGAGCUGUUUGAUGGCAGGGAAUUACUUGUUUGAACAAUAGGACACACCUGAUUUUUAACCUCACCACCAGAAGAUGUGCAUAGGAGGGUGUUACAUCAAUUACUUCAGUUACCAGUGAGUGGCUGUUCCCCG
This is a long non-coding RNA of Ficedula albicollis (Collared flycatcher), 4106 nucleotides long. RefSeq lists it as uncharacterized. NCBI's taxonomy places the organism in Eukaryota, Metazoa, Chordata, Aves, Passeriformes, Muscicapidae. The transcript is spliced from 2 exons. The record is from RefSeq and is a predicted model, not a curated record.